AGUGAACGCUGGCGGUAGGCCUAACACAUGCAAGUCGAACGGCAGCACAGUAAGAGCUUGCUCUUACGGGUGGCGAGUGGCGGACGGGUGAGGAAUACAUCGGAAUCUACUUUUUCGUGGGGGAUAACGUAGGGAAACUUACGCUAAUACCGCAUACGACCUACGGGUGAAAGCAGGGGAUCUUCGGACCUUGCGCGAUUGAAUGAGCCGAUGUCGGAUUAGCUAGUUGGCGGGGUAAAGGCCCACCAAGGCGACGAUCCGUAGCUGGUCUGAGAGGAUGAUCGGCCCCACUUGAAACGAGAAACGGUCCCGACUCCUACGGGAGGCAGCAGUUGGGAAUAUUGGGCAAGUGGCGGAAGCCUGAACCAGCCAUGCCGCGUGGGUGAAGAAGGCCUUUGGGUUGUAAAACCCCUUUUUUUGGGAAGAAAAACCGCGGGUUUAAACCCCGCUGUUCUGACGGUACCCAAAGAAUAAGCACCGGCUAACUUCGUG
RNAcentral lists this ribosomal RNA (492 nucleotides) under uncultured bacterium. RNAcentral's name for it is "partial 16S ribosomal RNA". It matches the Rfam family "Bacterial small subunit ribosomal RNA", at positions 29 to 507 of the family's 1533-position model. The record is from RNAcentral.